RNAcentral lists this ribosomal RNA (297 nucleotides) under uncultured bacterium. RNAcentral's name for it is "partial 16S ribosomal RNA". It matches the Rfam family "Bacterial small subunit ribosomal RNA", at positions 338 to 652 of the family's 1533-position model. The record is from RNAcentral.
CCUACGGGACGCAGCAGUGGGGAAUAUUGGGCAAUGGGCGCAAGCCUGACCCAGCAACGCCGCGUGAAGGAAGAAGGCUUUCGGGUUGUAAACUUCUUUUCUGAGGGACGAUAGUGACGGUACCUCAGGAAUAAGCCACGGCUAACUACGUGCCAGCAGCCGCGGUAAUACGUAGGUGGCAAGCGUUAUCCGGAUUUAAUGGGUGUAAAGGGCGGGUAGGCGGGAUGGUAAGGCAGAUGUGAAAACUAUGGGCUCAAACCAUAGCAUGCCAUUGAAACUAUCGUUCUUGAGUGUUGG